ACCAGCCGCCGAAUUGCGCAAUCCCAUGAACAUGUCACAGGUGCCUCCAGUUCUAGUUCCCCCCGCCAAACCAGUUUGCGAUUCUAUUAUUGUAGCUGGAAGAUUCUCUAAAUAUAGUAGCGAUCCACUACCAUUGAGCCUCUUAAGUGCUGCGAUUAUACUUCACUCCAACCCAGUAAUAACUCUGCCUCUUCCGCCCACCAGUCAGUUAAUAAUAGAAAUCCGUAAUGUAAUAGAUGGCUGUGAGAACUUUCCGGCAGUGGCAGUCGGGCAGAUAUAAAUGUAUUGUUAUUGGCCGGUUUAUGGAUUAUUCCUCACAACAGUCGAAUCGCAAUCGCUGCGCACAAAUUAAAGAUCAAACAGAAAGGUGGGUCUUCCAUGCGCCAGUAGCCUGUCCAGCGGGUCGGGGAGGGAGAUUCCGAUCUGGCCAGCGAACGUGGUGCGCAAUUUGAUUCCCCCGAGAUGGGCCGCCAGUCGGCGCCUCGUCUGCUUCUCUGAUGGCUGGCUGCACCAUGCGGGAAAUCCGGCUGAAAGCAGUUUUCACCAAACUUAUCCAAAGUCAAGAGCAUGGCGCACACGAAGCUCACAGAUACGAGCAUACUGGCUGACGGCACUACAGUUGCAGUUCUGGGCGCAAGUCGAGCCAAGGGUGCCGCCAACUGAAUAUUGCAUUUGGAGCGGAAUGGGGGCAGGACUGGGGGGCUGGCACCACUACCGAGUAGAGCCGGGAAGGUCGUCGUCGAGCGUGGCACGCGGGUCGUAUGCGCAAUAAAUAUAUAUGGUAUAAUACUCCAGGCCUCUUCUCUGCUAAUUUCCAUCAAUUGCUCAGUAGGGUCUGCUCCAGGACCUUGACUAUAAUCAUCCGUAUACGGAUAGAAGCAGCUGCCAAUUAGCCCGGCCAAGGGGAAAUCAAUUGGCCAGCCAGAUAAUACUUUAAAUGCAGAAAACAAAAUAGCUGAUUGUUUUAAUUUUUGCUAAUUUAUUUAUAGACCCAUUACUGGCUCCCUGUGUAGAGGCACGCUUCUGCCUCCGAAACUACACAUGGCUCAUUAGAACCGGCUUUGUGCAAGCCACUGGGCCUUUGUUUGGCCAAUUAAUGGGAAAAAUGUGCAAAAAGGGGCUUGUCAUCGCGGCUAUUUCGGGUGAACCUCCCCCUCUCCACUGGGCGAACCUGUUGAUGACUCAGAGUCCGUUCCGCGGAGUCGCCUCCUAGACUUGGGUCUUGGAAUUCCAGUUCUAUCGCUCCCAGGAGCCAGUCGCCGUGCUCCACUGGCACUCCACAUUCCGCCCACUUCUCACAGCGCAAUUCCGUGCAAUUUUCUAAAAAUAGCUUAACCCAUUAAAGCCACUUAGAAUGCAAAGCCGACGCGCGGCGCACUCGUUUUGAAAAUUUGUGCAAGUAAAAGUUGUUUUCCGCUUUAUUGCCGCACAGACCCGGCACAGAGUUCAUUCAUCCAGUUCCCCGCUGUCCGUGUUCCGCCGGCAGGGGACUUCCGCAUGUGGACUGGACUGGACCACUGUCCGCAAGCGAAAGUGAAAUCCACUUCGGCUCUUGUUGUUGUCCAUUUAAUCAUUGCAAAUUUUAUGCAAUCUGCCUGUGCGGGUCUUUUUAUAGCCCAUAUGUGCCAUUUAUCAAAAAACAGAUCAUGUCAGCCAGGGCACUCUUUCAUAUGUAAUUCAAUUUGAUUAAGUGGGCAGAGCGUGCGCCAAAAGUGCAUUGACUCCGGACUCCGGCGGCUAUGUGUGUGGAAAAGCGGAAAAUUACACCGAUUUCAAUGGGAAUUGGAGAUUCUCUCCCUGCCCUCCCCAUACCAGUAAUAAAAAAAUCGUAGAAACUGCAGUUCUAGAGGGGAGUGGUCAGCUUGCAUCCUCAAAUAGCCAUCAAUAGUCUCCUAUUUUAUUUAAAAUUUAAAUUCAAUUUUAAAAGUUACUGGUAGCAGAUGUUAACAGUCAACUGUUAAGUACCACUGUUAAUGCUCUGUAAACGCAAACUAGGUGGCAGCGCCUGCGCCAUAUGCAACCUAGGUGGCAAGGCCGUCCCUACAGCUGUUUUCUGCAACUGCAUGUGUUAUUCCCAAAUUCUUUGAAUCGAACUCCAUUCCCUUUCUUAACUCCCAUAUAAAAAUGAGUGCACCCAGCUGCAAGCUGCUACUGAAGCAAAUGCCCUGCACCCUAGAGGAGCUGGCGCAGCUAAUCAGGGAGUGCCAGCUGAUAGUACCGCGGACCCUGAAUCCCUACGGCCGGAAAAGGACGAUCAUCGAGUACGGCGACCCGGAGGAGGCGCAAAGGGCGCUAAAGGAGCUGCUGGGACUCGGCGCGCAACUGGACAAGCCCCUGUGCGUGAGCUUCUUUGGGCCACGUGAGGGCGGUGCUGCUCCCAACAAGUCCACACAGACCAAGCCGGGAGCGAGUGACUCCCAGAAGCAGGAGGAGAUCGACAAGUACGUUCGGAAGUUGUAUGCCUGUAAUAAUGAGUGCGAUUUUACACAGCCGCCGCCGCCAUAUCUCAGCUAUAGCUAUCCCCCCAUCAAUGCCGACAUUGUUGCGGCGAUAAGUCAGCAUCUUCUGAGGAACAAAAGGUUCUACAACCAGGUGCUGCACCUCAUGAAUCGCAUGAACCUCGAGCCCCCCUUCCAGAAGCACUCCGCGGGGCUAAUAGCCCACAGCUAUGCCAAGGAAGUGGCCACUCAGACAGAGGACUUGGCCAGCGAUCCGGAGAGCGAGCUGGAAAGCGACGACGGGGCAGAGGACAGGCAGAUCAAGAGGCAGCGUCUGAUGCUGCCCGAAGCCAGCGAGGAACUGCGCCAGAAAACCUUCAAGAGGGCCCGUCAAAUGCUGCAGCAGGCCGUCAGCCAGUCGCAUCCGUCCUGCAGCGAGAAAAAGACUCCAGCCCCGGCACCCGCACUUUCUGCGCCACGAAUUCAACUGAAACUGCCAGAGUCACUAAAUCCAAGCAGAUUACAACCCGAGACGGAGAAACGCCUCUCUGUCAGCGAACUGCAAGAGCUGCCCGUAUACAAGAACUACAAAAUGGGGGAUCCCAGCAAUAAGCUGUACAUCAAAAACCUCGACAAGAGCGUGGACGAGCAGCAGCUGCGGCAGCUGUACUCCAAGUACACGCCGGCCGCGCAGUUGGACAUCAAAGUUAUGCAGCAGGGUCGGAUGAAGGGCCAGGCGUUUGUAACCUUCCUCGAGGGCUACCGGCCCGAGGGCAUAGCCAGGGCGCUGGGCGAAACAAACGGCCUGGUCUGGAAGCAGAAGCCCAUGAUCGUGUGCUUCGGCAAACAGCAGUGAUUAGGUUAGGAUCAUCAGUAUUUCCUAGACUGUAUAGUAGCAGCUCUUGUUCCCUUCAAAAUCCGACAACUGGGACUGAUCGACGUCAUUUAUGCGGAAGGAGCCCGACCAGACCCGGCCAACGACCCCGAAGAGUCCUUGAACGAGGACGAAAUCACAGCUGCCGCCAGUACAGUACCCCUGAAGACGAAGAA
Drosophila ananassae is the source of this 3488-nucleotide RNA transcript. It is a transcript of the gene named ERI1 exoribonuclease 2, with no coding region annotated. NCBI's taxonomy places the organism in Eukaryota, Metazoa, Arthropoda, Insecta, Diptera, Drosophilidae. The transcript has 2 exons. The record is from RefSeq and is a predicted model, not a curated record.